UUGAAGGCACUUUGAACGAAGUCGUCAUCGUUGGUUCUACAUAGUCGCACGAGGUGCCUGACCGAGCUCAUUCAUUCCCAAUCAUUGAAUUCGUCAAUCUAACAUUGUUAUGCCUUCAUCCAAGCUUCGACUCGAUCAGCACUCCAAAAACUGCAAGGAAGUAGAUCCAGCGACAAAACAGCAUCACAACAGCGAGAAAGAUUCAAUUCGAUCAGCACGAUCAGUAUCCUCAUCUCCAGGAAAGGAGAUUAAGAUUGCAGCCAGGCACACAUCUCGUUAGCACCACACGACAGCCAGUGGAUCUGAAAAUCAUACACAUCGAAAGAAGUGCAUCUCCACUGAGGGGCGUUCGAUCGCUGCGUUCCCGACUAGGAGCACCACUAGGUCGACAAAGCCCUC
Uranotaenia lowii is the source of this 399-nucleotide long non-coding RNA. RefSeq lists it as uncharacterized. The transcript is spliced from 3 exons. NCBI's taxonomy places the organism in Eukaryota, Metazoa, Arthropoda, Insecta, Diptera, Culicidae. The record is from RefSeq and is a predicted model, not a curated record.